Molecule: ribosomal RNA, 468 nt
Filed under: uncultured bacterium
Lineage: Bacteria
Description: partial 16S ribosomal RNA
Rfam family: Bacterial small subunit ribosomal RNA
Source: RNAcentral
GACGAACGCUGGCGGCGUGCUUAACACAUGCAAGUCGAACGGAAAGGCCCUGCUUUUGUGGGGUGCUCGAGUGGCGAACGGGUGAGUAACACGUGAGUAACCUGCCUUUGACUUUGGGAUAACUUCAGGAAACUGGGGCUAAUACCGGAUAGGAGCUCCUGCUGCAUGGUGGGGGUUGGAAAGUUUCGGCGGUUGGGGAUGGACUCGCGGCUUAUCAGCUUGUUGGUGGGGUAGUGGCUUACCAAGGCUUUGACGGGUAGCCGGCCUGAGAGGGGGACCGGCCACAUUGGGACUGAGAUACGGCCCAGACUCCUACGGGAGGCAGCAGUGGGGAAUAUUGCACAAUGGGCGGAAGCCUGAUGCAGCAACGCCGCGUGCGGGAUGACGGCCUUCGGGUUGUAAACCGCUUUCGCCUGUGACGAAGCGUGAGUGACGGUAAUGGGUAAAGAAGCACCGGCUAACUACGUG